RNAcentral lists this ribosomal RNA (547 nucleotides) under uncultured Glomus. RNAcentral's name for it is "SSU rRNA". It matches the Rfam family "Eukaryotic small subunit ribosomal RNA", at positions 548 to 1098 of the family's 1831-position model. Lineage: Eukaryota; Fungi; Glomeromycota; Glomeromycetes; Glomerales; Glomeraceae. The record is from RNAcentral.
UUGGAGGGCAAGUCUGGUGCCAGCAGCCGCGGUAAUUCCAGCUCCAAUAGCGUAUAUUAAAGUUGUUGCAGUUAAAAAGCUCGUAGUCGAAUUUCGGGAUCAGUAGGUUGGUCAUGCCUAUGGUAUGUACUGGCUUUACUGGUUCCUCCUUCUUGAUGAUCUGUAAUGUCAUUAAUUUGGUGUUGCAGGGAGUCAGGACUGUUACUUUGAAAAAAUUAGAGUGUUUAAAGCAGGCAUACGCUUGAAUACAUUAGCAUGGAAUAAUGAAAUAGGACGUUCGAUCCUAUUUUGUUGGUUUCUAGGAUUGACGUAAUGAUUAAUAGGGAUAGUUGGGGGCAUUAGUAUUCAAUUGUCAGAGGUGAAAUUCUUGGAUUUAUUGAAGACUAACUACUGCGAAAGCAUUUGCCAAGGAUGUUUUCAUUAAUCAAGAACGAAAGUUAGGGGAUCGAAGACGAUCAGAUACCGUCGUAGUCUUAACCAUAAACUAUGCCGACUAGGGAUCGGAUGAUGUUAUUUUUAAUGACUCAUUCGGCGCCUUACGGGAAAC